CCGGGGGGCCGGGCAGCCGCGUCAUCGCAAGAUGUCGAGGAAAGUCCGGGCUCCGCGAAACAAGGGUGGCGGGUAACGCCCGCCGAGUGAGCCUUCGGGCGAAGCUCAGGGAAAGUGCCACAGAGAGUAUACCGCCGAUGGCCCCCGCUUCUUCGGGAGUGAUGGCACAGGCAAGGGUGAAAGGGUGCGGCAAGAGCGCACCGGGGGGCCGGUAACGGUUCCCGUCAUGGCAAACCCCACCCGGAGCAAGACCGCAUAGGGGUCUCGCGCCGCAAGGCAGGGGCGUUUCGUCCCGAGAGACCCGGGUUGGUCGCUGGAGCGGCGGAGCAAUCCGUUGCCGAGAUGAAUGGCUGCCACCGCAGCGCUGAUGUGCAAGCAUAUCGGCUGUGGGACAGAACCCGGCUUACAGGCCCCCCGGCACA
This is a non-coding RNA of 422 nucleotides. It matches the Rfam family "Bacterial RNase P class A". Rfam says of the family: Ribonuclease P (RNase P) is a ubiquitous endoribonuclease, found in archaea, bacteria and eukarya as well as chloroplasts and mitochondria. Its best characterised activity is the generation of mature 5'-ends of tRNAs by cleaving the 5'-leader elements of precursor-tRNAs. The record is from Rfam.